CGGGCCCGACUCCUACGGGAGGCAGCAGUAGGGAAUAUUGGGCAAUGGAUGGAAGUCUGACCCACCCAUGCCGCGUGCCGGACAAAGGCCCUCAGGGUUGUAAACGGUUUUUAUUCGGGAAAAAAAGCAGGGAUGCGUCCUUGUGUGACGGUACCAAAUGAAUAAGCACCGGCUAACUCCGUGCCAGCACCCGCGGUAAUACGGAGGGUGCGAGCGUUGUCCGGAUUUAUUGGGUUUAAAGGGUGCGUAGGUGGCUAUUUAAGUCAGUGGUGAAAUACAGCCGCUCAACGGUUGAGGUGCCAUUGAUACUGACUAGCUUGAAAGAAUUGGAGGCUGCCGGAAUGGAUGGUGUAGCGGUGAAAUGCAUAGAUAUCAUCCAGAACACCGAUUGCGAAGGCAUGUGGCUACUAUUUAUUUGACACUGAGGCACGAAAGCAUGGGAGAGCAAACAAGAUUAGAUACCCUGGUACUCCAUGCCGUACACGAUGAGGACUCGCUGUUGGCUGUCAAUGCUGAGGGCUUAGGAAACCGUUAAGUCUCCACCUGGGGAGUACG
RNAcentral lists this ribosomal RNA (555 nucleotides) under uncultured Bacteroidota bacterium. Its description in RNAcentral is "bacterial SSU rRNA". It matches the Rfam family "Bacterial small subunit ribosomal RNA", at positions 327 to 884 of the family's 1533-position model. Lineage: Bacteria; Pseudomonadati; Bacteroidota. The record is from RNAcentral.